This 497-nucleotide ribosomal RNA is filed under the name uncultured bacterium. RNAcentral describes it as "partial 16S ribosomal RNA". It matches the Rfam family "Bacterial small subunit ribosomal RNA", at positions 28 to 507 of the family's 1533-position model. The record is from RNAcentral.
GAUGAACGCUGGCGGCGUGCCUAAUACAUGCAAGUCGAGCGAACGGACGAGAAGCUUGCUUCUCUGAUGUUAGCGGCGGACGGGUGAGUAACACGUGGAUAACCUACCUAUAAGACUGGGAUAACUUCGGGAAACCGGAGCUAAUACCGGAUAAUAUUUUGAACCGCAUGGUUCAAAAGUGAAAGACGGUCUUGCUGUCACUUAUAGAUGGAUCCGCGCUGCAUUAGCUAGUUGGUAAGGUAACGGCUUACCAAGGCAACGAUGCAUAGCCGACCUGAGAGGGUGAUCGGCCACACUGGAAGUGAGACACGGUCCAGACUCCUACGGGAGGCAGCAGUAGGGAAUCUUCCGCAAUGGACGAAAGCCUGACGGAGCAACGCCGCGUGAGUGAUGAAGGUCUUCGGAUCGUAAAACUCUGUUAUUAGGGAAGAACAUAUGUGUAAGUAGCUGUGCACAUCUUGACGGUACCUAAUCAGAAAGCCACGGCUAACUACGUG